GACGAACGCUGGCGGCGUGCCUAAUACAUGCAAGUUGAGCGCUGAAGGUUGGUACUUGUACCAACUGGAUGAGCAGCGAACGGGUGAGUAACGCGUGGGGAAUCUGCCUUUGAGCGGGGGACAACAUUUGGAAACGAAUGCUAAUACCGCAUAAAAACUUUAAACACAAGUUUUAAGUUUGAAAGAUGCAAUUGCAUCACUCAAAGAUGAUCCCGCGUUGUAUUAGCUAGUUGGUGAGGUAAAGGCUCACCAAGGCGAUGAUACAUAGCCGACCUGAGAGGGUGGUCGGCCACAUUGGGACGGAGACACGGCCCAAACUCCUACGGGAGGCAGCAGUAGGGAAUCUUCGGCCAUGGACGAAAGUCUGACCGAGCAACGCCGCGUGAGUGAAGAAGGUUGUCGGAUCGUAAAACUCUGUUGGUAGAGAAGAACGUUGGUGAGAGUGGAAAGCUCAUCAAGUGACGGUAACUACCCAGAAAGGGACGGCUAACUACGUG
RNAcentral lists this ribosomal RNA (497 nucleotides) under uncultured bacterium. RNAcentral describes it as "partial 16S ribosomal RNA". It matches the Rfam family "Bacterial small subunit ribosomal RNA", at positions 28 to 507 of the family's 1533-position model. The record is from RNAcentral.